RNAcentral lists this unclassified non-coding RNA (205 nucleotides) under plant metagenome. RNAcentral's name for it is "partial contains small subunit ribosomal RNA, internal transcribed spacer 1, and 5.8S ribosomal RNA". The record is from RNAcentral.
UCUCCGUAGGUGAACCUGCGGAGGGAUCAUUACUGAGUGAGGGCCUCCGGCCCGACCUCCAACCCUUUGAUGUCCGACUCUGUUGCCUCGGGGGCGACCCGGCCUUCGGGCCCGGGGCCCCCCGUGGUCCACUCAACUCUGCAUCUUUGCGUCUGAGUAAACAUUAAAUGAAACAAAACUUUCAACAACGGAUCUCUUGGUUCUG